This 1405-nucleotide long non-coding RNA is filed under the name Physcomitrium patens. RNAcentral describes it as "long non-coding RNA (PPAT_LNC008893)". Lineage: Eukaryota; Viridiplantae; Streptophyta; Bryopsida; Funariales; Funariaceae. The record is from RNAcentral.
CACAUACUGAUCAAUAACACAAGUGUAUACACAUACAUGAUUUCAAUUGCACCAAUAAAAUUUACAUUAGUUACAUAUCAAAAAUCUUUCACUUGGAAACAAACGGUGGUUGAAGCCUUCUGCUGCAUUAUCUAAGUCGGCCUGUAGCAUUGUAAGAGAACUCUGCUGCAACGGCAUUCACUGUAUCAGCUCUUGUGCGAGAAUUGCAAAAGAAAUGAGAGAUGAGCACAAAUUCACUCACCUGAUCAUUGAGUUUCCUGCAGCCAUAGCUACUGCUUCAGCAGAAUUCAUUGAAGAGGAAACACAUUCCAAAAAAUAAAGUUCACAUACCGAGUUUGACAGUAGUCAGGAGCGAAAACAAACUAUUGACACUAUCACCUCUUGAUUUCCAAUGUGCUCCAGCUUAAACCAGGGAAGCAAACGCCCACGGUCAAAUAUCAAUUUGCAUCGAAAAAAUCGAAAUUAGGCUGUAAAAGCAGCAUCAAAGAUAAAUGAGCUCCAAAACUUCCAAUGAUGUCUGCAUAUCCCUGUGCGUUUCCUCGUCAACGGAACGGAGAGCUCCGCAAACGUGCCAGGCACCUCGACGGUAGACAACAGAGGCAGCCAAUACGAUAUCUCAGUCUCUAUAUACGUUCAUUGGAACGAUUGAAUUUGAAUACAAGGAAGAGUAGGUGUGAGAACUCCAUUGGUGCAUCAACAUAGGAAAUCCUUACCUCGGAGGUAGUGCCAGGUAAAAGGGCCAAUUCGUAUGCUAGGGUUACUCAAUGCCGCCAAUAAACGAGACGAGAAAGAAUCAGCGAUACUGUUGUCGUGCGCUUCGAUGGACGAAGGAUUCAUACCAGCGAAACCGAGCAAGAGAAAUUCAUGUUAUGAAAUCAAAAGCACCACCAGCACCACCAGCAGCGCCACCCACACAGUGCUGAGGUUCAUCGUCAGGAAUCAAACUCCGAGGACACAUUCUGCUACAUCCGACCUCGGGGGCCAUCUCCAACUCAAAAAUUGUCUGAUCCCAGUACCCCUUCUCCAUGCUAGCAAGCAUUCAAACCUUGUUCGAACUAAUCCGAAAUUGCAUCCAUCAAGAAUUCCCGCAGCGAUUCAGAAACGCGGCAUCCAGAGCAAGACCGACAUGUGGAGCAACCGCAGGCCCAUGCACACGUCCGAGGGAGACGCAGACUGCAUCAUGGACAGGAAAUCGGCGGAGGUGAGCAGCAGAAGCGGGGUGAGGAGGAAUCGCAGCAGCAACAUGGUGAAUGCUGGGCAGCAUGGUAUGGCCUGGCAUGGCCUGGUGAGGAGUAUGAGGUCUGCCACUGCAGCUUGGCAGGCUGCGAGAAAAAACCAAACCCUAGAAUCACACUGGCUCCAUCCAUCGUGCUCUCGCCAAAAACUCCCCUCGUGUCUUUCUGUU